CAACCCUCGAGCCCCCGUGGCCCGGCGUUGGAGAUCUGCCACGGCAGUCUCCCAAAAUCAGUGGCGGACCCGAAGGCCCUCUCCUUUGCGCAGUAGCAUCAGCCUCGCAUUGGGAUCCCUCGGCGUCCUGCCUCUAAACCCCCCACAAGCCCGCUCCGGCGGCACCAA
This 168-nucleotide unclassified non-coding RNA is filed under the name uncultured fungus. RNAcentral's name for it is "sequence contains ITS2". Lineage: Eukaryota; Fungi. RNAcentral also lists the same sequence under 1 other name. The record is from RNAcentral.